RNAcentral lists this ribosomal RNA (301 nucleotides) under uncultured bacterium. RNAcentral describes it as "partial 16S ribosomal RNA". It matches the Rfam family "Bacterial small subunit ribosomal RNA", at positions 509 to 807 of the family's 1533-position model. The record is from RNAcentral.
CAGUAGCCGCGGUAAUACGGAGGGUGCAAGCGUUAAUCGGAAUUACUGGGCGUAAAGCGCACGCAGGCGGUCUGACAAGUCAGAUGUGAAAUCCCCGGGCUUAACCUGGGAACUGCAUUUGAAACUGUCAGGCUGGAGUCUUGUAGAGGGGGGUGGAAUUCCAGGUGUGGCGGUGAAAUGCGUAGAGAUCUGGAGGAAUACCGGUGGCGAAGGCGGCCCCCUGGACAAAGACUGACGCUCAGGUGCGAAAGCGUGGGGAGCAAACAGGAUUAGAUACCCCUGUAGUCCCUGUCUCUUAUAC